This 232-nucleotide long non-coding RNA is filed under the name Elaeis guineensis (African oil palm). RNAcentral describes it as "long non-coding RNA (EGUI_LNC068084)". The record is from RNAcentral. Lineage: Eukaryota; Viridiplantae; Streptophyta; Magnoliopsida; Arecales; Arecaceae.
UUGGCUAAAGUUUUGCUGAAUUGGAACACAGUAAUGCAUCAUCUCCAAUUUUACUUGAAAUGGUCAAUCCCAUCUUGACUCGUAUUCAGACUUUACAAGUACUUGACUGUACUCAAAAACCUUCCAUCAUCGAAUUAAAAAUUCAUAUAGUCCAACAUCAAAGCACACUGAGUUACUUGCAAGUCACCAAGGCAGUCUCAGAUCAGAGGGACACAUAUACCUAUACCCCAUC